Molecule: long non-coding RNA, 3811 nt
Organism: Pseudopipra pipra
Lineage: Eukaryota; Metazoa; Chordata; Aves; Passeriformes; Pipridae
Exons: 3
Source: RefSeq, a predicted model, not a curated record
AAGUCUUGAGUGUUAAAUGCGUUCAUAUGCUCUGGAGUACCUGCAUGCAGUUUACAUUCAAUUUAUGGAAAAGAAGAUAAGUGUUUGAGAAGACUUGACUCUACAGCCACUGGAAAUGGGAGGGAGAGAAAUUUUUGCAGCUAGAUGUCACAGUUAAAUCUUAAUCACAAUCACACUGGUAUAAAUCCAGAGUAACUCUACAGGGAGCGUAAUAGGGUCCUGACCACAUUGCUGUUGAAUUAAACACAGCUUGUCCCUAGCAUAAUGCAAGCCACCCUUUGGUGGAAAUAUUCUUUGGUGGAUGUAUGCAGGUCCAGACAAAUUCACAGACAGGAUACCAGUUGUCUUUUAUAGUAAUAUUUUCUGGUGCCCUGCUGGAGUUCCUGGUAACUAGAAAGUCUUAUGCAAAGCCAUAGUACAGCUCUAGAAAACAUAGAUCUAAGAGAAAAAUGUCACUAAUGAAAAUAUUACAGAAAUGUGAUACUAAGAUUAACAAAUGUCAUUAGUCAGGUUGCCAGCUCUGUCUAAAUAGUGCUGUAAUAAUCCUCAGAAAAAAAUUAAUAGAGUAUUUCUGAAGACAUUGCAGGAACUAGUCAAUAUAACAUUUCAUAGGUUAUGUUUUCUCCUUUGUGUGCAUAUAGUCAGGGAAGAAUAUACCACAUAGGAAAAUUAGUGUGCCUAACACAUUUCACAUCACGGCUAUCCCUGGCAUGCUUUCCAUAGUUAGUUUAAAAUUGUGUUCCAUGGACUUACAGUACUUUCUUUGAUUUGCUGCCAAUAUUUACUUAAGCAAAUUGAAGAGCUCAUACUAUACUAGGGUAGAAAGAGUGAUAAAUUGCAAAAAUGCGGUAAAUGUUAAAUAAAGCUUCCUUUUUUUUCAGCAGAAAUCUGAAGAAAUUGCUCUCAUGGCUGAUAACUUUAACAGAUUGAAAGGAAAGCACAUGAUCACAUAACACAAUUCCAGAUUACCAUUCCUCCCUGACCCUACAUCCAAGACACUCACAGAAACUGCCUUAAUGGUUCUGAGGACCAGAAAAAUUUGGGGAGGAGACAGAUGCUGGUCCUGUAGUUUGAGGAACACUGGAGGACAUUGACAGACUGAGAAAUGCUGCUGAAAUCCAUGGAGCUCUCCUGGGGGUACAAGGAGACUACAGGAUUGGGACCUGACCUGGUAAUGUGAUCCUUAUAAGUGCCUUUGUGGCAUUCUCCAGGACUACUCUUACCUGCUUUUAUGCAUAAUAAAAAGGUGUAUGAAGAACAAUUUGGUGAAAUAGCUGAAAUGGAGUGGCUGGGAAAACAUCAGAAAUUCACAGAUAUCAAAAAAUCAAUUAUGAUAAAUUGGUAUGAAUUUCUGCAUUGUUGGAGAUAAAGAAUUUUGCCCACAUUCACCAAUAGGUAUAAUGAUAUUGAAGCCACUUUUAUACAUAAUACUAUAUAAGUGAAAACUACUUCUGACAAGCAUAGAAAGGCCCAUUUCUGUGUAGCAAAUUGUGUGCUUAAGGCCUGUAAAACCUUAAAGGUAACAUUUGUCAUCUUUGUUAAGCUUUUAACACACUUUUGAGACUAUUUAAAAAUGAAGGAGCCUUUGGAAUCCAGGCUGGAGCUUGGGUUGUGUGUGCAUACAAAUAGAAGGGCUUUGUAGAGCUCUUUGGCCAAAAUGAGCAAAUUUUUUCCUUUAGGGGGCAGAACUCAACUUAUGGCUCCCUGGCUGUAUCUUUUCCUGGUGGAUGUGAGUCAAGUGGUCUUCACCUCCACACCAUUUUGUCACCCACGCAGACUUACAAGUUAAUUUUUGAUAAGAGAAACACCAGUUCAAAACCAAGGCUUGAUGAGUCUUUGUUAGAGAAUAUUCAAAAAUGAGGUUUCAACAUUUCCCAAAACAAGUAUUGCUUUUGCUAAAUGAAAAGCUUCAACAUAAAAAAGAAUUCUUCAUUUUUUAAUCCCAGCCAAAAAAAACUUUCCCAAUUAAAACUCCAAAGUUAAUGCUCUUUCCAGAGUUCAGUUGUUCGGUACAUUUAUUGCUUGUCUAAAAAUUGUCUGAGCUGCACCAGGUUUGCUACAUGAUGCCUUCACCUCAGCAAGGCUGAGAGGCACAAGGGUGUUUUCCUGACAAAACUACUUGAAAUAUUUUAAGUAACUUAAAAAUAUUUUUCUCCUCUUGGUCCUUCCAGAAUAGACCAUGUUGAAUGUACAUUCAAAUUUUCAUAUGCUUAGAGCAUACCUACUUUUUUAUUAACACAUCCACAGAUUUGGUUGUGAUUUGUUUAAUGUGAAACUUCAUAAUUAGAAGAAAUCCCUUCCUGCCAGUCUUUUCCCAAUAUAUGCUUCAGUGUGUCCAGAAAGAGUAUGUAUCUGAGUGCACAAACACAUGGAGAAAUUUGAGAUUAAUUUGAUAUUCAUUCUGCACACACCUUAUGGGUUUUUUUUUCCCAAUAUAUGGAAGAGCAAUCAGUUCCUUGUUUGGUAUCACUGGUGCCAUCUGGGAAUGAUCAUAGCAUCUAUGAUUGGAAAUCCCAUGUUUUUACUCUUUCCUAUACAAGUGUGAAACUUCAUGUGCUGGUCCAUACAUUACCUCAACCCUUUGCAAAUAAAUUAUUUUUUAUAACAUCUCCAGAGAGCUCUGCCUCUUUGCAAAAGCCACGCACCUUGCAAACUAAUUGGAUCUGAAUGUAAUGAAUCUGAAAAGAAAUUAGCUAACUUUCAAGUACUGUUCACUAGUGUGUAUGCAAAGCACAUAAAAUUUUUCAUCUCUUUCUUUCCUCUGGUUAUUUUUUCACCACAGCUACCAUUAUGUGAUGGAUCAGUGGUGACACAUGAAGUACAUUUCUUGAUGAUUAAGAAGCUACGUAGUAGUAGGUCAUACUUAUAUAUUUAUGUGUAUGAAAAAUAUCAAUACUUUUAAUUGCUGAAUGUCUCCUUUGGAACUAAAAGAUUAAAUCUCUCUGAUUUAGUGUGAUUAAAAUAAUAAAUGUAAAAUUAAAGUAUGAUUAAAAACUUGAUGCAUAGCCCACCAGUAGAGUUAAUGCAUUACCAAGUCUCCUCCCAAACACAGUUUCAACAUUCCUGUUGACAUGUAAACUGCUAUUAGCAUCUCUGUGCAAGUUAUGCUUCCCUUGUUUUGUUCUUGUAUCUAAAUUCCUCUGUGAUUUAUGGGGGGAAUUUGGGAGUCUCCUGUGGGUAAGUGCAACAGUAAAAUGACUGGCAAGGAGGUAGAAAGGUAAAAGAAGGACAAACUAAGAGCAGGAAGGGAGGACUGGAAGGGAAAAAAAAGCAGGUAUUGAAUCCCUAUUGAGCAGGUAAGGGAAAUUACUUUCCAAGCAAUCAAGCUACCAUUCUAUGUUAUUUUCCAAAACUCUUAUUUUAACUACUGUUACCUCUAGCCUGUCGAAAUGGAUGAGAUAACUCCCAUGACUUCAGUGAGAACAUGAUGAAUUGGGCCCUAAGUACAGCUGGAAAUCCCACUUGUUGCAUGUUUUGAAGGUUACAUAUUCAGUUUACACUGGCCAUGUGUACAAAGUUGAAGUAUACUAUUUUAUGUUUAAAAAGUAGAGAAAAAUUAUCAAAAAAAAUCAAUGCAAUUAUGUGGUAGUUUAGUCCAGGCCUUCCUUGGUGACCAGUUUGUAACCAAGUGCCCAGAUUUACCCAGUAUUCCCUAUGAUUUUUAUGUAAGCCAGGGUAUAAGAAGAAAGGAGGAAAGGUCUUCGCCCUCUUUCCUUCCGGUGGCUUUGGAGGUGCAGGUUCCCUGCUGUCGAGUCUGUCGUGUUGGGGAGUGAGGCCUGGUAAGGUCUUGCCGACCUUGGGAGAUGGAGGU